UACAGAGGUCUCAAGCGUUGUUUGGAUUCAUUGGGCGUAAAGGGUGCGUAGGUGGCGGGGUAAGUCAGGUGUGAAAUUUCGGAGCUUAACUCCGAAACUGCAUUUGAUACUGCCUUGCUUGAGGACUGGAGAGGAGAUUGGAAUUCACGGUGUAGCAGUGAAAUGCGUAGAUAUCGUGAGGAAGACCAGUGGCGAAGGCGGAUCUCUGGACAGUUCCUGACACUGAGGCACGAAGGCCAGGGGAGCAAACGGG
RNAcentral lists this ribosomal RNA (253 nucleotides) under uncultured bacterium. RNAcentral's name for it is "partial 16S ribosomal RNA". It matches the Rfam family "Bacterial small subunit ribosomal RNA", at positions 524 to 776 of the family's 1533-position model. The record is from RNAcentral.